AUUCACGCUAGCGGCGUGCCUAAUACCUGCCAGUCGCGCGAACAGACGAGGAGCUUGCUCCUCUGACGUUAGCGGCGGACGGGUGAGUAACACGUGGAUAACCUACCUAUAAGACUGGGAUAACUUCGGGAAACCGGAGCUAAUACCGGAUAAUAUAUUGAACCGCAUGGUUCAAUAGUGAAAGACGGUUUUGCUGUCACUUAUAGAUGGAUCCGCGCCGCAUUAGCUAGUUGGUAAGGUAACGGCUUACCAAGGCGACGAUGCGUAGCCGACCUGAGAGGGUGAUCGGCCACACUGGAACUGAGACACGGUCCAGACUCCUACGGGAGGCAGCAGUAGGGAAUCUUCCGCAAUGGGCGAAAGCCUGACGGAGCAACGCCGCGUGAGUGAUGAAGGUCUUCGGAUCGUAAAACUCUGUUAUUAGGGAAGAACAAAUGUGUAAGUAACUAUGCACGUCUUGACGGUACCUAAUCAGAAAGCCACGGCUAACUACGUG
This 496-nucleotide ribosomal RNA is filed under the name uncultured bacterium. RNAcentral's name for it is "partial 16S ribosomal RNA". It matches the Rfam family "Bacterial small subunit ribosomal RNA", at positions 33 to 507 of the family's 1533-position model. The record is from RNAcentral.